CACCUCUCCCUUCACUCUCUUUCUCCUGUUUGGCCGUGUACCAAGUUCCUGCCUGUCUUCUGUCUUCACCCGUGACUUGCCUCAAGUAGUUGGCUCCUUUCCCACCGGCUACUUUGUAACUGCGAAUAUGACAACAUGACGGUGAUUCACAGAUGCCAAAAUAUGACGAGCAGAGCAAAUCUGUGUUCCAGAUAUGAUAAGAUAAAACCCCAUCGUAAGUGGAGAAGCACCUGCAUUGUGAUGUUAGCUCCAUGCACGCACUUCAUCCGUGCUUUGCCUGAUGCGUCUCUUCCAUUUGGCCGUUUUUGAGUGAUGAAGAGGUUAAAAAGUAAU
Molecule: long non-coding RNA, 333 nt
Filed under: Homo sapiens (human)
Lineage: Eukaryota; Metazoa; Chordata; Mammalia; Primates; Hominidae
Description: HSALNT0323877
Source: RNAcentral